ACGUUUUUAGAUAAAGCUGAAAACCAGCCACACAUUGGAAAACAGUUUGUUCCACCAAUGAUGGAUCAAGUACUUGGCGACUAUGCAAGAAAUGUUCCUGAUGCAAGAGAAUCAGAAGUCUUGUCACUCUUUGCGACAAUAAUCAACAAGUAUGUCACUUUUCUGUAUCAGCCUGUAUUAUUAAUCCAGGAUGUUUGGUCUGCUCUUGUAAGAAUAUUUUUAGUUAUCAUCAUGUAUUAAUCAAACUAGUUGAUGCAUAAAAUGUUCAAUACUGUAUAAUCUCAAAAGAAUUUUUACCACUAGAUGUAACAUGAAAAUCUACUAUCUUCUAAACCCAACUUGUUGAUGUGCACGUGUAGAUACAAGGUUGUAAUGCGAGAUGAAGUUCCCCUCAUAUUUGAAGCUGUUUUCCAGUGCACAUUGGAGGUAACUGAUUCUAUGGUCCAUUGAAAAUAUUUCUCACAUGUGCAGUUUUAAGCUAUCAGUCCACCCUUUCGAAAUAUUAUAAACAAUGCUAUGUGAUACUCAGUCGUAGUUCUAUGCAUACAUGGAAGUGACUAGUGAAUUCGUUUUCAUCUUUUUUCUGCAGAUGAUUACUAAGAAUUUUGAAGAUUACCCAGAGCACCGUCUCAAGUUUUUCUCGUUACUUCGUGCUAUUGCUACAUUUUGUUUCCGUGCGUUGAUACAGUUGUCAAGUGAGGUUGGUGAUUAUGUUCUUGCAUUAGUAUUCUUUGCGUGAUCUUAGAAAGCUAAUAACGACCUUUCCAUAUUAUUAGUUUUCUAGUUAUCCCUGAGCUUGUCUUGUUUUUGUGUCUCUUCAUCAGCAACUGAAGCUAGUGAUGGAUUCAGUUAUCUGGGCAUUUAGGCAUACUGAAAGAAAUAUCGCUGAAACUGGGCUCAAUCUCUUGCUCGAGAUGCUGAAAAACUUUCAGGUUUUGGAAUUUCCUUCUCGUUUUGUUGGCAUUUUUAGCCUCUUUAUGUGUGUGCAUGAUUUAACAUGUUGCUCUUUGACUUGUGGCAGAAAUCUGACUUUUGUAACAAAUUCUACCAAACAUACUUUCUGCAAAUUGAGCAAGAAGUAUUUGCUGUCUUGACCGAUACCUUCCACAAGCCUGGGUUCAAGUUGCAUGUGUUGGUGUUGCAGCACUUAUUUAGCCUGGUAAAUAAUACGUAUACUACUUGUAUAAAAAUCUACCACUUGGCUAGUCACUGCGGAAUUAACGGAUCAAUAAAAUAUUUAGGUUGAGAGCGGAUCAUUGGCAGAACCAUUGUGGGAUGCUGCAACGGUACCGCAUCCUUAUUCAAAUAAUGUCGCCUUUGUGCUUGAGUACACCACCAAGCUUCUAAGCUCAUCAUUCCCCAACAUGACUACAACAGAGGUAACGUGAACUAAACCAGAGGAUUUUCAAUUCUUCGAUUGCCACUGAUAUUGAAAAUAAAACACUGACAAAACACAACAAAACAGGUGACACAGUUUGUGAAUGGACUUUACGAGUCGAGAAACGAUGUUGGCAGAUUUAAGGAUAACAUACGCGACUUCCUUAUACAGUCCAAGGAAUUUUCUGCUCAGGUAUAUAAGUAAUUGCUACAGAUUAGAUUGGUAUCUUCUUUUAUACCACAUUUCAUCAAAAACUCUAAUGAAUGGAUUAUUUUUGUUCAGGAUAACAAAGAUUUAUAUGCUGAGGAAGCUGCUGCCCAAAUGGAGAGAGAGAGACAAAGAAUGCUUUCGAUUCCUGGACUUAUAGCUCCCAGCGAAAUUCAAGACGACAUGGCCGAUUCUUAAGUCUUGUUUUUAUAUUUUAUAAGAAGAAGGCUCUCGAAAAGAGAAAUGGAAUUUUUUUUGUAGAGAUCUUGAGAAAUGGAAAGCUUAGAAAAGACAAGUGUUAGGUUUUCUAAAUUACAAUCUUUUUUGUUGGAUUUGUUACUAUUAAAUGAAAAAUGUUUAGGAUCUCAAAAUUAAUCGAACCUCAAACCGGUUAUAAACCGGUCUUAAUUUCAAAGACUUGUAAACCGAAAUAAAAAUGUAAGACCAAGUGGAAUCUCUCUAUACUGUACAUAAGGAAUCCAUUGUACCGAAAACGCAACCUUUGCUUUCUUGGGAAACUCUCUGCAAUUCCUGGAGAAAUCGACCAUCAUCAUCUUAGCUUUGAUUCUCUCUGUGUUUCUUCACUUUCAAUUUCUGUUUUGGUUUAUCGAUAAGAGAAAGUAAAAUUCGUCUGUGGGGGUUUAAGCUUUUUUGGGGUGAGAGAUGGGUCAAACUUUUCGCAAGCUUUUCGAUACCUUCUUCGGCAACCAGGAGAUGAGGGUACUCUCCUUCUCUCCAUCUUCUGUAUUUGAUUUCUGUAUUUGAUCGUUUACUGGACGGAAUCGCGUGUUACCCAUCGUUAAUCGUUAUACUCGCUUUCAUUGUUUUGACGACACUCGGAUUUUGAAAUAAUAUGAAAAAGUGUUUGAUUUGUGCUAAUCAUUGAUGUAUCCUGGGAUUUAUUAUAUGUUCAAAGAGUUACUUUUUAGGUCCGGUAUAUAUGCUUGUAAUCUAAACUCUUGCUAGUACUUUUAGGUACCCUGAAGAUUCAAGUUCCCUUCUACUAUAGUAUAGUACCUACACUGUUUAGAAUCUUGAUGUAGCCAAUCCACUUUCAUAGACAGUUGGGUUACUUGUGUAUCCAUGAAAUCAUUCACACAAGUUAGCUAGUCCAGCUUUUGUUUUGUGUAUUGACCCAGCUUAUUAGCUAUCAAGUGCAAUAACUCUAGAUAUUAAGUGCUGUUACAGAUUAUGUGGUGUUCUUGUUGAUAUAUUACUAAUCUAUGUGGUGUGGUUUCUCACUGUGCAUGAUAUGAUGAAUACAUUUUUCAGAUUUGGUGAUUUUUUUCUUGUGUUUUUUGUUUUGAGAUGCCAGGUCGUUAUGCUGGGUCUGGAUGCGGCUGGCAAAACAACGAUACUAUACAAGCUCCACAUAGGAGAAGUUCUGUCUACUGUUCCCACAAUCGGUAGGUCAGAUUGCUCAAGCAUUUUUAUUUUUUUUGCGUUUUCUCAUUUAUCUUACAACGGGUUUACUGAGGAUUUUAAAUUUCUUACACAGGUUUCAAUGUUGAGAAAGUUCAGUACAAGAAUGUCAUCUUCACAGUUUGGGAUGUUGGUGGCCAAGAGAAGCUGAGGCCCUUGUGGAGGCAUUACUUCAAUAAUACCGAUGGACUUGUAAGUCUCUACUUAUUUUUCACGCUGCCUCUAGUUAGAUAGUUAACUCAUAGAGUCUCUUCUCUUCAUGACAGAUGAUUUCUCAUGUUUUGUAAGGAAUUUUCCUGAUUGAUAUUGGUCGAUGCAUUUGCAGAUAUACGUGGUAGACUCCUUGGACCGAGAGAGGAUUGGUAAAGCGAAGCAAGAAUUUCAGGUACCUUAGAAAAUUUGCACAAAACUUUGGGUCAAAUUAGUUUCUGCAGUGUUUCUAUAACCUCUGCUUAUUGAUUUCUUCAGGAUAUCAUAAGGGACCCAUUCAUGCUCAACAGUGUCAUUCUAGUGUUUGCAAACAAACAAGACAUGGUAAAAGUUCAUAGGCUCUAGCUUUCCUUAUUUCAUAUUUUUUCGUUCUCAUUUACCAAAAUUCGUCUGAACUCUUUAUGAAUUUCAGAGAGGAGCCAUGUCUCCUCGAGAAGUAUGUGAAGGGCUUGGCUUACUUGAUCUCAAGAACAGGAAAUGGCAUAUACAAGGCACAUGUGCUCUUCAAGGAGAUGGGCUCUAUGAAGGCUUAGACUGGUUAUCCGCUACACUCAAAGAGGUUAAAGCCGCUGGUUACUCAUCAGUUGGUCCCUCGUUUUAGCACCCCUACCAUUUGCAAAGAAAAAAAUCCCUGACUAGCUAAAUUGACAUACGAAAGUACCAAAUCAAGCUCAUGGUGUCUCCUGUCUACUCACCAUUAUAUACUUUACAUCCAUGGCCACACCCUUCUUCGUGGCCACUGAUAUGGUAAUAUCACAAAACUAAUGAAAAUCUCUCAAGACUUUUGUAAUGGAAGUGUUUUUGUUUUUCUUUCGUCUUCACAUGGCUCUGCUUCUUAAAGCUAAUGUUAGUAUCAAUUAGGCUCCUUUUUGCAUAAUAUGACUUUGGAGCUUUAUUGUAAAUUCUGAUGGAUACAAAAUGUAUAAAUCUGACAAAAAUUGCAAAAUUCUCAUGAGAUUAUUAAAGUCUCCCUUAUAGCUAUGAUAGAUGAUUGAUCUUUUUACGUCCCUGUCUUCCCCUGUUGAGCUCGGGCACUAUAAAUUUGGUAACUACCGAGUUUGUCUCUUUUGAGUUCAUAUAAAAUACAGCUAAAUCGAGUUUUUUUUUAAAGCCAUGAAGAAAUUACGAAUGAGAUGAAAAGAAAUAGAAAAAAAAAUUACAAAAAAAAAAAAAAGAAAAAUACAACAACCGAAGGAAACAAAAGAAUUAUCAAUAUUUUUCAAAGAGAGAAGGAAAUGAUUUCAAAAUUUUGUUUUAAACUUUUAGUGAAAAUCAAUAUUAUUUUUUAAAAAUAAGUUUAAGAGUCAAAAUCUAUAUGACUUGAAUACAAUGCCGAACUUCAAACACCACAAAACUUACGGACCAACUAAGGACGUUUUUAAAAUUUAAUACUUAAACUAAUUUUUAAAAAGUAAUAGUGAAAUUAACAUGGUUUUAGUUAAAAAAUUAUUCUGUGUUAAAUUUUUUUAGUGAAAAUCACUAUUAUUUUUAAAAAUGAGUUUACGUAUCAAAUCUAUAUAACGUAAAAACAAUGUCGAACUUCGAACACCGCAGAGCUUACGGACUAAUUAAGGAUGGGAUGCCUAAGCGCGGUUAAUUUUCGACGUUUUUAAAAUUACAACACUUAAACUAAUUUUUUAAAAGUAAUAGUGAAAUUAACAUGAUUUUAGUUAAAAAAAAAUUAACUAUUUUCUUAAAGAUUAAGUUUUAAAUUUGUUUUUUUAAAUGUUUUAAUAAAAGUUUUAAAUUAAUUAGUUUUAGUUUUACCCAAAAUAAUUUUUUAAAAGAAAUAAAAACAAAAAUAAGAAUGAAAAAAAAUAAUGUACCUUGUUAGAAGUGGUAACAAAGAAGGCCCAUUCGAAGACUCAGAUUCUCAUCAAAAACAAUUUGGGGCUUAACCAAAAUUCAACCCAUUAGUUUUCUUGAGACCAAAACACUUGAAGCCCAACUUCUUUCCUUUGUUGUUGACUUUUCUUUCUUCUCGGUCGUUGACUCUCUUCUUCUUCUUCGACAUCCUUCGAUCACGAGCCUUUGCUUCUUCUUCUUCUUGUUCUCAUCAAGGAUGUCAACUUCAACAGUCCGCCUUUCUCCCUCUCAUCAUUAGCCGCCGUCUACAAAGUGUUGCGGUGGAGAUCAUGUGAAAUUAGGGUUCGACUGUAGAAGUAGUCACAGGAUAUCGAAUGCACAAGAGAGAAUGGCGAUCAAUCUAAGAAACGUGACGAUCGAUCUUCUUCUCAAGGAAGAAGGCCAGUUUCGCAGAGAGUGGCUCUACCUCUACAUGGAUCAUCGGCUUCACGAGAUUGGCGAUCGAAAAUUGGCAAAGUUUGUUAGACGAGUAUUUAUAAGGAAAGGUACUUGAGAAGAAGAAAAAAGGAAAUCCUCGCUUUUAAUCAAAAAAAAGGAAAUUGAUCACAACGGUCAAUUAGUGAUCACAACGGUCAUUAGUGAUGAUGGCAACGUAUAUUUGAUUUGACCAUAACAAUAGAAUCUGAAUGGAUAUAAUUUAGUAUUGAAAGUCUUUUCUUUCCAUUGUUUCUAUUGACAAAUAAUCUCAAUCCCCUUUUUGGCUUAGCCUUACUUACUCAUGUAUACAGAGACUCUUUUCGUUCACGUGUCCUCUACACUUAUGUUUCAAUGAAUGAUAAUUCCAAGUUCAUAUGCUCAUCAUCAUCCACAUUUCAGAGUCUAUU
This 5907-nucleotide long non-coding RNA is filed under the name Arabidopsis thaliana (thale cress). Its description in RNAcentral is "long non-coding RNA (ATHA_LNC000066)". Lineage: Eukaryota; Viridiplantae; Streptophyta; Magnoliopsida; Brassicales; Brassicaceae. The record is from RNAcentral.